This 403-nucleotide ribosomal RNA is filed under the name bacterium. RNAcentral describes it as "partial 16S ribosomal RNA". It matches the Rfam family "Bacterial small subunit ribosomal RNA", at positions 355 to 776 of the family's 1533-position model. The record is from RNAcentral.
UGGGGAAUAUUGCACAAUGGAGGGAACUCUGAUGCAGCGACGCCGCGUGAACGAAGAAGGCUUUCGAGUCGUAAAGUUCUUUUAUAUGGGAAGAUAAUGACGGUACCAUAAGAAAAAGCCCCGGCUAACUACGUGCCAGCAGCCGCGGUAAUACGUAGGGGGCUAGCGUUGUCCGGAAUCACUGGGCGUAAAGGGUUCGCAGGCGGAAAUGCAAGUCCGGUGGAAAAGGCAGUAGCUUAACUACUGUAAGCAUUUGAAACUGCAUAUCUUGAGAAGAGUAGAGGUAAGUGGAAUUUUUAGUGUAGCGGUGAAAUGCGUAGAUAUUAAAAAGAAUACCGGUGGCGAAGGCGACUUACUGGGCUCAUUCUGACGCUGAGGAACGAAAGCGUGGGUAGCAAACAGG